AUACUUACCUGGACGGGGUCAAUGGGCGAUCAAUAAGACCCAUGGCGUAGGUUGGUGACCUCCAUUGCACUUUGGAGGGGUGCCUGCCUAAGGUUGGCCCAAGUGGUCGAGCCUACGUCAUAAUUUGUGGCAGCGGGGGCCUCCGUUCGUGCGGCCCUUA
Molecule: small nuclear RNA, 160 nt
Filed under: Nicotiana tabacum (common tobacco)
Lineage: Eukaryota; Viridiplantae; Streptophyta; Magnoliopsida; Solanales; Solanaceae
Description: U1 spliceosomal RNA
Rfam family: U1 spliceosomal RNA
About the family: U1 is a small nuclear RNA (snRNA) component of the spliceosome (involved in pre-mRNA splicing). Its 5' end forms complementary base pairs with the 5' splice junction, thus defining the 5' donor site of an intron.
Source: Rfam by way of RNAcentral